UCGAACGGGAUCCUUCGGGAUUUAGUGGCGGACGGGUGAGUAACGCGUGAGAAUCUGCCCUCAGGAGGGGGACAACGACUGGAAACGGUCGCUAAUACCCCAUAUGCCGAGAGGUGAAAUGUUUUUUCGCCUGAGGAUGAGCUCGCGUCAGAUUAGCUAGUUGGUGGGGUAACGGCCUACCAAGGCGACGAUCUGUAGCUGGUCUGAGAGGAUGAUCAGCCACACUGGGACUGAGACACGGCCCAGACUCCUACGGGAGGCAGCAGUGGGGAAUUUUCCGCAAUGGGCGAAAGCCUGACGGAGCAAGACCGCGUGAGGGAUGACGGCCUAAUGGUUGUAAACCUCUUUUCUCUGGGAAGAUAAUGACGGUACCAGAGGAAUAAGCCUCGGCUAACUCCGUGCCAGCAGCCGCGGUAAUACGGAGGAGGCAAGCGUUAUCCGGAAUUAUUGGGCGUAAAGCGUCCGUAGGUGGUUAAUCAAGUCAGCUGUUAAAGAGCGGAGCUUAACUCCGUUAGAGCGGUUGAAACUGAUUGACUAGAGUUUGGUAGGGGUCGAGGGAAUUCCCAGUGUAGCGGUGAAAUGCGUAGAUAUUGGGAAGAACACCGGUGGCGAAAGCGCUCGACUGGGCCUGAACUGACACUGAGGGACGAAAGCUAGGGGAGCGAAAGGGAUUAGAUACCCCUGUAGUCCUAGCCGUAAACGAUGGAUACUAGGUGUUGCUCGUUA
Molecule: ribosomal RNA, 726 nt
Filed under: cyanobacterium enrichment culture clone 4_RT_4.1.2_E04-T7
Lineage: Bacteria; Bacillati; Cyanobacteriota
Description: bacterial SSU rRNA
Rfam family: Bacterial small subunit ribosomal RNA
Source: RNAcentral